This 1861-nucleotide long non-coding RNA is filed under the name Aotus nancymaae (Ma's night monkey). RNAcentral describes it as "lncRNA (ENSANAG00000038566.1)". Lineage: Eukaryota; Metazoa; Chordata; Mammalia; Primates; Aotidae. The record is from RNAcentral.
AUUGCUUCAUGUGUGAAAUGGAAACUGCAAAUAUCAUCUGGGUGAAGAAACAUUUAAAUUAGCUCAGACAUAUAUGGAUAAACUAUCAACACAUGACCAGCAAGCAAAUAAAGCUGCACUCUAUGGAGAACUGUGUGCACUCCUGUUUGCAAAAAGUCACUAUGAUGAGAUCUCAUUUUUACAUAUUAGGUUUAAGGCAGUACACAUUUGUAAUGGAAAAUUUAAAUCAGACAAGCCGGGCACCGUGGCUCAUACCUGUAAUCCCAGGAGUUUGGGGCCAGCCUGGGCAAGUGAGACCCUGCCUCUACAAAAAAUUAGCCAGGUAUGUAGCACAUGCCUGUGAUGGUCAUCCUACAUGGGAGGCUGAGGCAGGAGGAUCCCUUGAGCCCAGUAGGUUGAGGCUGUAGUGAACCCUGUUUAUACCACUGUACUUAAGCUUGGGUGACCAAGUGAGGCUCUGUCUCAAAUUAAAGAAAAGUAAAAUCAGACAAAAGGAGUAUUUGUGAGAUGAAUUUGAAAUAUAUAAAUGUAUAAUUUAGAGCCCUUUCUUUUGUUGUUUUUCUUUUAAUUUAACCAAAAGUAUCUGCCUAAAUUGUUUGGAUGGGCGUCUUCUUGUAGUUUUUGAGACAGGGUCUUGCUUUGACUCCCAGGCUGGAGUGUAGUGGCACAAUCUCAGCUCACCACAAUCUCUGCUCCAGGACUCAGGUGAUUCUCCCACCUCAGCCUCCCAAGUAGCUGAGACUACAGGCACACAUCACCACACCUGCCUACUUUUUCUGUCUACUUUUCUUUGGUAGAGACAGGUUUUCACCAUGUUGCCUGUGCUGAACUCAAACUCCUGGGCUCAAGUGAUCCACCUUCCUCAGUUUCCUAAAGUUCUGGGAUUACAGGCUUGAACCACCAUGCCCAACCUGACAGUUAUUUUCUUUCUGCAUUUGGAUUUAGGGGUUUAUGCCUUAUUCAUGUAUUUGCAACUCUCAGCACAUUCAUGAGGAAUGUAGAAGUCUUGGAUAAUUUUUGACAGUUUAAUUUUUUAGUGAUAAAUAAGCUUUUCACUGUUAUUUACAGAAAAGUACACAAAUCUUUAGGACAUAGUUUGAUGAAUUAGCACCAUGUUCUUGUGUUAGUCAGGAUAGGCUAGGCUAUGCAGAGGUCAUAUCAACCCCAGAAUAGCUUGGAACAAUAAAAGUUUCUUUCUAGCUCAUAAUAUAUCCCUGUCUUCAGAUGGCUAUGACUGUUCUUGACAUUAUAUCUGUACUUCGAUCAAUACCCAGUAUUGUUUUUGGGUCUAUGUGGAACGUACCUAUCUAGAACAUUACCAGCCUGGGCACAGGGACAGAAACUUCAUGGAGAAGUACUGCUGGCUCUUGGACUUUUCUUCCAGAAAAGCCACAUUUCACUUCUCAUAUUUUAAUUGUCGAAAGAAAUCAUAUGGCCACACUUGUCUUUUUUUGUUUGUUUGUUUGUUUGUUUGUUUGAGACAGCAUCUUACUCCAUCAAGGCUGGAGUGCAGUGGCAUGAUCAUGGCUCACCACAGCCUCCACCUUGGCCCCACCAAGUAGCUGGAACUACAGGUGCACAUCACUACACCCAGCUAAUUUUUUUAAAUUUUUGAUAGAGACAAAGUCUCACUGUGUGGUAACCCAGCCUGGUUUCUAACUCCUGAGCUGAAGCAGUCCUCCCACUUCAGUCUCUCAAAGUGCUGGGAUUACAGGUAUGCGCCACCACACCCAGCCUAAGAUAAUUUAUUUUGCCUUUUUGAUUUCUUCCACUAAGCACCAGGAGAGGAAGGACAUUUGUUGUUUUGUUUCCCACUUCAUACUUAGAUACUAGCACAUUGCCUGCCACUUAACCUCUCUAU